GGUGGCUCAGUGGUAGAGUGCUUGUCUUGCAUGCAUGAGGCCCUAGGUUUGAAUCCUCAGCACCA
RNAcentral lists this transfer RNA (65 nucleotides) under Dipodomys ordii (Ord's kangaroo rat). It matches the Rfam family "tRNA". From Rfam's summary of the family: Transfer RNA (tRNA) molecules are approximately 80 nucleotides in length. Their secondary structure includes four short double-helical elements and three loops (D, anti-codon, and T loops). Further hydrogen bonds mediate the characteristic L-shaped molecular structure. tRNAs have two regions of fundamental functional importance: the anti-codon, which is responsible for specific mRNA codon recognition, and the 3' end, to which the tRNAs corresponding amino acid is attached (by aminoacyl-tRNA synthetases). tRNAs cope with the degeneracy of the genetic code in two manners: having more than one tRNA (with a specific anti-codon) for a particular amino acid; and 'wobble' base-pairing, i.e. permitting non-standard base-pairing at the 3rd anti-codon position. The record is from Rfam by way of RNAcentral. Lineage: Eukaryota; Metazoa; Chordata; Mammalia; Rodentia; Heteromyidae.